RNAcentral lists this ribosomal RNA (498 nucleotides) under uncultured bacterium. RNAcentral's name for it is "partial 16S ribosomal RNA". It matches the Rfam family "Bacterial small subunit ribosomal RNA", at positions 30 to 523 of the family's 1533-position model. The record is from RNAcentral.
AUUGAACGCUGGCGGCAUGCUUUACACAUGCAAGUCGAACGGUAACAGGCCGCAAGGUGCUGACGAGUGGCGAACGGGUGAGUAAUGCAUCGGAACGUGCCCAGUCGUGGGGGAUAACGCAGCGAAAGCUGUGCUAAUACCGCAUACGAUCUAUGGAUGAAAGCGGGGGACCGUAAGGCCUCGCGCGAUUUGAGCGGCCGAUGUCAGAUUAGCUAGUUGGUGGGGUAAAGGCCCACCAAGGCGACGAGCUGUAGCUGGUCUGAGAGGACGACCAGCCACACUGGGACUGAGACACGGCCCAGACUCCUACGGGAGGCAGCAGUGGGGAAUUUUGGACAAUGGGCGCAAGCCUGAUCCAGCAAUGCCGCGUGCAGGAAGAAGGCCUUCGGGUUGUAAACUGCUUUUGUACGGAACGAAACGGCCUGGGUUAAUACCCUGGGCUAAUGACGGUACCGUAAGAAUAAGCACCGGCUAACUACGUGCCAGCAGCCGCCGUAA